Molecule: unclassified non-coding RNA, 328 nt
Filed under: soil metagenome
Description: partial contains 5.8S ribosomal RNA, internal transcribed spacer 2, and large subunit ribosomal RNA
Rfam family: 5.8S ribosomal RNA (bases 1-120)
Source: RNAcentral
GAUGAAGAACGUAGCGAAAUGCGAUAAGUAAUGUGAAUUGCAGAAUUCAGUGAAUCAUCGAAUCUUUGAACGCACAUUGCGCCCCCUGGUAUUCCGGGGGGCAUGCCUGUCCGAGCGUCAUUACAACCCUCAAGCUCAGCUUGGUGUUGGGCCCCGCCGCCCCGGCGGGCCCUAAAGUCAGUGGCGGUGCCGUCCGGCUCCGAGCGUAGUAAUUCUUCUCGCUCUGGAGGUCCGGUCGUGUGCUCGCCAGCAACCCCAAUUUUUUUCAGGUUGACCUCGGAUCAGGUAGGGAUACCCGCUGAACUUAAGCAUAUCAAUAAGCGGAGGA